CUUUCCCUGGCUGACAGAACUCUGCCUUCGAGUAGGUGUUGGGGGUCAUGCCCUUCAUGAAAGGAGGAGUUUCUCUCUCAUCUCGUCAAAAAACAAAUUAUUCUGCCAAGCAAGGAGCAUGUUUUAGCUUAGUCACCACAGAAGAAACAGAUCACUUUUAAUUAUGACAUUUCAUCAACACUUGGCAAGUAAGAAAGAUGGGUUGAAAGACUGCAUCAGAAAUAUUCUAGAGUUAUUUUCCUGCUAACAUGGAAACAAAAAGAUUCAAUGUGAGAAGAAAAAAUAGAUUCCUAAUGGUCAAGAGAACAAGAAAAUUAGAUAGAAACUUAAAUAUAAAGUACCCGGAAGUCAAAAUGUUUGAAAUGACACUUAGAGCCUUAAUUAACCAGAUUUUAAGAU
Long non-coding RNA from Homo sapiens (human), 399 nucleotides. Ensembl annotates it as long intergenic non-protein coding RNA 1066. NCBI's taxonomy places the organism in Eukaryota, Metazoa, Chordata, Mammalia, Primates, Hominidae. The record is from Ensembl.